GGGGAUAACUCAGUGGUAGAGCAUAUGCUCAGCAUGCAUGAGGUCCUGGGUUCAAUCCCCAGUCCAGCCA
RNAcentral lists this transfer RNA (70 nucleotides) under Camelus ferus (Wild Bactrian camel). It matches the Rfam family "tRNA". Rfam says of the family: Transfer RNA (tRNA) molecules are approximately 80 nucleotides in length. Their secondary structure includes four short double-helical elements and three loops (D, anti-codon, and T loops). Further hydrogen bonds mediate the characteristic L-shaped molecular structure. tRNAs have two regions of fundamental functional importance: the anti-codon, which is responsible for specific mRNA codon recognition, and the 3' end, to which the tRNAs corresponding amino acid is attached (by aminoacyl-tRNA synthetases). tRNAs cope with the degeneracy of the genetic code in two manners: having more than one tRNA (with a specific anti-codon) for a particular amino acid; and 'wobble' base-pairing, i.e. permitting non-standard base-pairing at the 3rd anti-codon position. The record is from Rfam by way of RNAcentral. Lineage: Eukaryota; Metazoa; Chordata; Mammalia; Artiodactyla; Camelidae.